This 85-nucleotide transfer RNA is filed under the name Ignatzschineria ureiclastica. RNAcentral's name for it is "tRNA-Tyr". It matches the Rfam family "tRNA". Rfam says of the family: Transfer RNA (tRNA) molecules are approximately 80 nucleotides in length. The record is from RNAcentral. Lineage: Bacteria; Pseudomonadati; Pseudomonadota; Gammaproteobacteria; Cardiobacteriales; Ignatzschineriaceae. RNAcentral also lists the same sequence under 2 other names.
GGUGGAGUUCCCGAGCGGUCAAAGGGACUAGACUGUAAAUCUGGCGGCUAUGCCUUCGAAGGUUCGAAUCCUUCCUCCACCACCA